GAUCCUGGCUCAGGAUGAACGCUAGCUACAGGCUUAACACAUGCAAGUCGAGGGGCAGCGGGGAUUGAAGCUUGCUUCAAUUGCCGGCGACCGGCGCACGGGUGAGUAACGCGUAUCCAACCUUCCGCAUACUCGGGGGAUAGCCUUCUGAAAAGGAGAUUAAUACCCGAUGGUAUCGAGAGAUUGCAUGAUAACUUGAUUAAAGAAUUUCGGUAUGCGAUGGGGAUGUCU
This 231-nucleotide ribosomal RNA is filed under the name uncultured bacterium. Its description in RNAcentral is "partial 16S ribosomal RNA". It matches the Rfam family "Bacterial small subunit ribosomal RNA", at positions 15 to 236 of the family's 1533-position model. The record is from RNAcentral.